UACGGAAGGCAGCAGUGGGGAAUAUUGCACAAUGGGCGCAAGCCUGAUGCAGCCAUGCCGCGUGUAUGAAAAAGGCCUUCGGGUUGUAAAGUACUUUCAGUCGUGAGGAAGGUGUUAAGGUUAAUAACCUUAGCAAUUGACGUUAGCGACAGAAGAAGCACCGGCUAACUCCGUGCCAGCAGCCGCGGUAAUACGGAGGGUGCGAGCGUUAAUCGGAAUUACUGGGCGUAAAGGGCACGCAGGCGGUUAAUUAAGUUGGAUGUGAAAUCCCCGGGCUUAACCUGGGAAUGGCAUUCAAGACUGGUUAGCUAGAGUCUUGUAGAGGGGGUAGAAUUCCAUGUGUAGCGGUGAAAUGCGUAGAGAUGUGGAGGAAUACCGGUGGCGAAGGCGGCCCCUGGGACAAAGACUGACGCUCAUGUGCGAAAGCGUGGGGAGCAAACG
This 441-nucleotide ribosomal RNA is filed under the name uncultured bacterium. RNAcentral's name for it is "bacterial SSU rRNA". It matches the Rfam family "Bacterial small subunit ribosomal RNA", at positions 340 to 774 of the family's 1533-position model. The record is from RNAcentral.